GAUGAACGCUAGCGGGAGGCCUAACACAUGCAAGCCGAGCGGUAGAGUCAGUUCGUUGCCUUGAGAGCGGCGCACGGGUGCGGAACACGAGUGCAACCUGCCUUUAUCUGGGGGAUAGCCUUUCGAAGGGAAGAUUAAUACUACAUAAUAUAAUGGAUGGCAUCAUCUGGUAUUAAAAACUCAGGAGGAUAGAGAUGGGCACGCGUGAGAUUUGAUCGCUGGUGAGGUAACGGCUCACCAAGUCAGCGAACUAUAGGUGCGAUGAUAGGGUGAUCCACCACACCUGUACUACGACACGGACUAGACUCCUACGCGAGGCAGCAGUGAGGAACAUUGGACGCGGGGGGAUAGCCUGAUCCAGCCAUCCCGGGUGAAAGACUACUGCCCUAGGGGUUGUAAACUUCUUGUGUAUAGGGUAAAACCUAGAUACGUGUAUCUAGCUGAAGGUACUAAACGAAUAAGCACCGGCUAACUCCGUG
This 479-nucleotide ribosomal RNA is filed under the name uncultured bacterium. RNAcentral describes it as "partial 16S ribosomal RNA". It matches the Rfam family "Bacterial small subunit ribosomal RNA", at positions 28 to 507 of the family's 1533-position model. The record is from RNAcentral.